Molecule: transfer RNA, 73 nt
Filed under: Mergibacter septicus
Lineage: Bacteria; Pseudomonadati; Pseudomonadota; Gammaproteobacteria; Pasteurellales; Pasteurellaceae
Also listed under: 2 other names
Description: Bisgaard Taxon 40 tRNA
Rfam family: tRNA
About the family: Transfer RNA (tRNA) molecules are approximately 80 nucleotides in length. Their secondary structure includes four short double-helical elements and three loops (D, anti-codon, and T loops).
Source: Rfam by way of RNAcentral
GGGGAUAUAGCUCAGUUGGGAGAGCGCUUGCAUGGCAUGCAAGAGGUCGUCGGUUCGAUCCCGUCUAUCUCCA